Mauremys mutica (yellowpond turtle) is the source of this 993-nucleotide long non-coding RNA. RefSeq lists it as uncharacterized. NCBI's taxonomy places the organism in Eukaryota, Metazoa, Chordata, Testudines, Geoemydidae. The transcript is spliced from 3 exons. The record is from RefSeq and is a predicted model, not a curated record.
UCUCUCUUUUCUGUACUUUAUUGGCCAACACGCUCUCUUUCUCUCUCUAUGUCCUUGCCUCUCCUUGUGCUGUCUCCCUUCGUAGGACAUGGGCAGGAGUGCUAGGUGUGCAUCCACACAGGUCAGGUCUUGGGAGCCAUGGAGAAGUUGAAGCAGAGAAAAAUCAUGAGGAGCAGUGGGUGCUGAAGUGGAGCGGUGACUCUGUUUACUUGUCUCUGUUCAUGGAGUUGGGCUCAGAGGAAGUGUCCAGGAGCCCCAGCCCGAGGAGAAGCUGGCAGAAGUGGACCUGAUCAGUCUGAACAUCCUUCUAAACAGACAUGAGCAGUCCUCAGCUUUCUGCCUCCCGCAUAACUACACUUCAUUACUUUAGCAGCACGGCUGAAGCCUAAGAUAAAUGCAGGGUAGAGGAUUAGCACAGACGGCUGCUUCCCUUUAGGUGUAAUGGGAAAUGAGUGAAGAAGAACCUACACAACACUGCAGAUUCCGAUGGUAACUUUUGUUUGUCUGUGGUACUAAGCAAAACACGAGGGAGAAAGAAGUCAAGGGUAAGAGCCCACUCCCGUUGUGAGAUGGAAAGCACACAAGGCCCAUGAGACAGUGAGCGUUGUUGAUGCCAGGCUAUGCAGAUGCCGUCGAGCUGGGAGUGGAGCAGCUGUCACCAUCAGUGAGAUAAGUGUCUGGCUUGGUGAGGACUCUGGUAAUGGCCCACCUGCCUCCAGGCUGGGACUUGUCGUUAGCAGGGGCUUGAUUUGUAGGAAAAGAUUCCUGACUAGCUGUAGUUACGAGGGAGACAAGGUCCCCAUUUUCAGGGGCUGGUCAUUUCUCCGUCCACAAGCAGUGUGUCCUCUGCAGGAGAAGGUUGGAUCCAGGGGGAUGAGUUCUUUGCCUUCCUACUGCGUGUCGCUCUCUUUCUUUCUUUCUUUCUCUCUCUCUCUCUCUUUUCUGUACUGUGUUGGCCAACACACACUCUCUCUCUCUCUCUCUCUCUCCCCC